RNAcentral lists this small nucleolar RNA (138 nucleotides) under Ornithorhynchus anatinus (platypus). The record is from RNAcentral. Lineage: Eukaryota; Metazoa; Chordata; Mammalia; Monotremata; Ornithorhynchidae.
CCCCUCUCACGGUCGCACUUGGAGAGUUUCCAGUACUCUACCAGUCUCAACUGUGGGAGGGAGAGUCAAGCAGAGGCCUACCCAUUCCAUUUCUAGCUAGGGCAGUGGUUAGCCAGUGGAAGGCAAUCCGCAACAAGG